CUCCUGUUCGACGCUGACAGUUGCUGCGAUGUUACUGGUUGUCAGCAUUCUGUUGCUUGUGGGAACAGAAUCGUCAGAAGCGUCACAUUAUAAAGUGUUUGGCCCCCUCUCUGAACAAAAAGAUGAUUCUCCAUCUGCAGCGAAAUGUCGCCCAGGUGAUGUGGCUGUGGCCUGCACCGCGACGUCAUACUGUGACGGUGUCCUUUUUACUGGGUCGGACUCGUGCACGGCAUACACUCGUGCUGAUG
This is a long non-coding RNA of Lineus longissimus, 248 nucleotides long. RefSeq lists it as uncharacterized. The record is from RefSeq and is a predicted model, not a curated record. The transcript is spliced from 3 exons. NCBI's taxonomy places the organism in Eukaryota, Metazoa, Nemertea, Pilidiophora, Heteronemertea, Lineidae.